ACGGGUCCGCCGCUUGAGCUACACUCCAACCCAUCAUGUUUCUGACGCUGACCACGGAUGAAUUGGCAGCUGUUAUUGAGGCAAGUCGAGAAGGGUCGGCGCUGAGAGGUGCCGGCCUUUUUCUUU
RNAcentral lists this small RNA (126 nucleotides) under Rhizobium tibeticum. Its description in RNAcentral is "Alphaproteobacterial sRNA ar35". It matches the Rfam family "Alphaproteobacterial sRNA ar35". The record is from Rfam by way of RNAcentral. Lineage: Bacteria; Pseudomonadati; Pseudomonadota; Alphaproteobacteria; Hyphomicrobiales; Rhizobiaceae.